CCAAUAGCGUAUAUUAAAGUUGUUGCAGUUAAAAAGCUCGUAGUUGAAUUUCGGGAUCAGUAUGUUGGUCGUGCCUCGGUAUGUACUGGCGUCACUGAUUCCUCCCUUCUGAAGAACCAUCAUGCCAUUAAUUUGGUGUGGCGGGGAAUCAGGACUGUUACUUUGAAAAAAUUAGAGUGUUUAAAGCAGGCUCGCGCUUGAAUACAUUAGCAUGGAAUAAUGAAAUAGGACGUUAAUCUUAUUUUGUUGGUUUCUAGGAUCGACGUAAUGAUUAAUAGGGAUAGUUGGGGGCAUUAGUAUUCAAUUGUCAGAGGUGAAAUUCUUGGAUUUAUUGAAGACUAACUACUGCGAAAGCAUUUGCCAAGGAUGUUUUCAUUAAUCAAGAACGAAAGUUAGGGGAUCGAAGACGAUCAGAUACCGUCGUAGUCUUAACCAUAAACUAUGCCGACUAGGGAUCGGAUGAUGUUAAUUUUUUAAUGACUCAUUCGGCGCCUUACG
Molecule: ribosomal RNA, 498 nt
Filed under: uncultured Glomeromycotina
Lineage: Eukaryota; Fungi; Glomeromycota
Description: partial small subunit ribosomal RNA
Rfam family: Eukaryotic small subunit ribosomal RNA
Source: RNAcentral